This 409-nucleotide ribosomal RNA is filed under the name uncultured bacterium. Its description in RNAcentral is "bacterial SSU rRNA". It matches the Rfam family "Bacterial small subunit ribosomal RNA", at positions 30 to 439 of the family's 1533-position model. The record is from RNAcentral.
AUUGAACGCUGGCGGCAUGCCUUACACAUGCAAGUCGAACGGCAGCACGGGGGCAACCCUGGUGGCGAGUGUCGAACGGGUGAGUAAUAUAUCGGAACGUACCCUGGAGUGGGGGAUAACGUAGCGAAAGUUACGCUAAUACCGCAUACGAUCUAAGGAUGAAAGUGGGGGAUCGCAAGACCUCAUGCUCCUGGAGCGGCCGAUAUCUGAUUAGCUAGUUGGUGGGGUAAAGGCCUACCAAGGCAUCGAUCAGUAGCUGGUCUGAGAGGAUGAUCAGCCACACUGGGACUGAGACACGGCCCAGACUCCUACGGGAGGCAGCAGUGGGGAAUAUUGGACAAUGGGCGAAAGCCUGAUCCAGCAAUGCCGCGUGAGUGAUGAAGGCCUUAGGGUUGUAAAGCUCUUUUGU